GUCUUUGAUGAUGAUGACCUUUUUUUUUCCCCGUCAUAUCGAUAUAUGAUGAUGCAUUUUUAUAAUGCCAAUUUGGUCUGAAUCAGAGAC
Physella acuta is the source of this 90-nucleotide small nucleolar RNA. RefSeq annotates it as small nucleolar SNORD12/SNORD106. Lineage: Eukaryota; Metazoa; Mollusca; Gastropoda; Physidae. The record is from RefSeq and is a predicted model, not a curated record.